Molecule: long non-coding RNA, 6290 nt
Organism: Rosa chinensis
Lineage: Eukaryota; Viridiplantae; Streptophyta; Magnoliopsida; Rosales; Rosaceae
Exons: 3
Source: RefSeq, a predicted model, not a curated record
CUCUGUCUCUCUCUCUCUCUCUGUGUGGUGAUGCUGUUCAUGAUUUGACGCAGCUAAUCCACACUAUUCCUUUUUUGCUUUCAAACAAGCUCUGAUCUUUGGAGUUCGGCCAACCAGAAAACAAAACAAAAGCUCAGUCCUUUACUCUUCGGAGAGACGCAAAGCUUGAGCUUUCUUCUAGCUUCUUCCAAUAUCCAAACUAGUGGGUUUUCACUCUCUUGCAUGUUUGCUUCUUUUUUUUUCUGCAGCUUGGUGUGGAUUUGUUGUUUGAGUCUGAUCUUAGAGUUUUGGAACCUACUCUUUUGCUUGAGGUUUCCGUUUAUCUGUUUGUUUGCUUUGUUUGUUCCUGUGCUUGAGUUUUUGUGUGGCUGAUCUGCCUGGUAGAUGGAACGUUAGGUUUUCCUUACAAGUUGAUCUUCAUGCAUCGGCUAGAGAAGUGAUUGGAAUACUACUGAAAAUUUCAUGAUAUUCUUCUUUUCUGUAACCAAGUAGUGGUGUUUCGGUAGGAAGAGGUAUCUGGAAGAUUUCCUUUUCAUUAUAGUAUUCUCAAAUCUGUAAAAUAUAUUGGCUUACCCUUGAACCUUUUAUGCAAAAAUUCCUGACUUAAAAGUUUUCAAGCUUCAAAGGAUUUUGCUUACUAUUUAAAAGGAUCGGAAUAACUACAGAUUUUCUUUUUUCUGUAAGUAGACCAGGAAGAGGAAGAGGUAAGUGGAAGAUUUUUCCUUUUCUUUACAGUAGUCUAUUAUCUGUAAAAUUUGACCGUUCCUAAAUAUUGGCUUAAACUCUUAAACCUUAUAUGCAAAAAUUCUUGGUUUAAAGUUUCAAGCUUCAAAGGAUUUUGAUUACUAUUUAAAGCUUAGCAUCCAGAUUGUUCUCAGUCAAGUCUCAAAUUAUUCAAGGCUCUUCUACAUGUAUAGAAUGGCUCUAAGAGUAUCUACACUCCAACAUUAUAAUUUUUCUUGAAGUACUUUCUACUGAUCUGGCUUUCAUAAGUCCAUGAAUUUGAUUUUUCACUGUCAGAUUUCUAUGCAGAUCUGGAGUUUCCAUGAUCACCACCUUUGCAACCCAUAUGUUUGCCCAGUUAUUUGGUCCAUACAAUAUGAUUUAACUCCUUUGAUCUACAAGCUUUAGGUCCUAUGUAUGGAAGGUUACAUAUUGUUGAUGUUGGGGUACAAGAUAAAUUUCUUAUCAGCCUGUCAUCCCUGGUGUACCUUUAAUCCAUGGAGCGAGAUCCCUAUCUUGCAUGUGAUAUUGUGUUCAUUAAUAUCAGGUGGCAGAUUUUGGUUACUAGCUAUGAGAACAAAGUAAAUUGGCUCAGUCCGAGACUUUUUCUUGGUGAAUGGUGAUGCCCUUCGACGUCUGUUUUUGUGCCUGAAGCUAGGUCAAUUAAUUUGUACGAUGAAGUUUUGGUACAUUGAUACUUUUAUAUCAUUUGCGCUUAUUUUAUUUUCUUUUUGUCUUGCAUGUUUUAGGCAUUGACAUGAAAUGUGCUGAACUUGUAUAUGUCAACUUUCUUCAUAAUUGUAUUGUGAUUAGCGGAAAACAUGUUAAUUCGGCUUUUAGCAGUUACUGUAUAAGUGUAUGACUAUGAGCUGAGCUAUCAGUGGUUUUGGAUGACGAAGAGAGGGAGUACACUUGUCAGCAUCCAUGAAAAGGCCAUGGGUGUUUACGGGAGUGCUCCCUCUCUUUGUCAUUAAACUGCACUUGUCCAGGUCUGUCCUUGAUGCUAUGUUCCAUGUAUUUGCAUCUUUGGGAUGUAAACGGGCUGAUAAGCUUAUAACAUUUUGUAAUUUGUCAUUUAUCUUUGUCAAUCAUAUUAUUUAUUCCAGAAUGGUUACCAUUAGCCUUUUUGUUGGUUGAUGUCGUGUUAUGAUAUGGAGAUUAAAUGUUGUUGAAGUAGAGUGGUCAUUGUUCAUGGAUCAAUCUCUUAGUACAUCAACAUGGAUGCGUUAUCUUGUUAAUUACAUUACAGUCACUUGUUUGGAAAACUAAAAUAUUUUGACACAUACCCGUUCAGUGAUUCAAUUUUACAUAAUUAAAUUGUUUUACCUCAAUAAAAUCUGAACUAAUGUAAUUUCAAUAAAAAUUUCUAAAUACUUUUAAUCUUUUUUUCGUUUCUUUUUGUAAGAAUUGUUAAUAGGACUGGAACAUGAGGUGUGGCAGUGAUAUAAGAUGAUUAGAAUAGGCAGAGAUCAACAUUCAGGUUUGAGUCGUAGGAAUGCAAGACAUUCAACAGUGGGCUUUGUUUCACUUGAUCUAUGGAAUUGAUAUUUCACUGCUAACUACAAAUCCAAAUAUUAGAGUUCAUUUGGGCGAAACAAUUGGUAUGCGAUAUUGUACAUGUGAGAACAUAUUUUCUUGCCAAGUUCUUCAAGACUAUUGUGUUGGAUAUACUUAAAUUAUUACAUAUAUACAAGUAAUAAACAGACAGAAAACUGUAUGAAACAGCAUGAUUGCUAAUAUGAUCACAAACAAUGAUGGUCAUGAGCAUGAGGAACAUCAAAGGGAAGUGCUAAUUUGUAUUGGCACUGCUGAAUUGGAGGUUGCGUGUUGAUGUUGUGACUCGAGACUUUCUUGCAUGUUAUACUAUGUUAAUUUCAUGUCGUAGAGACUUUCUUGCGAUACUAUGUUAAUUUCAUGUGGUGGUUUUGGUGACUUUUUUUUUGUCGGCAACUGGUGGGUUUUGGGGACCAGUUGGUCGUACAUUAUAUAGUUGUACAUUUAUGAUCAUGGUUGAUGUGUUAUUCUUGUACUGUUGGUCUUAACUAUGUAUAUCUGUUUAUAUCAACCAAAUAUUGUAUGUCUUUUUUCUUCUAUUGCUUUUGCUUUCUGUUUUCAGCUGUUUGGUACUUUUCUUUUGAUUUUUUGGUUCUUUUCUUUUGAUUUCUCUAGUCUUGCUUGUUUUGGCAGUUGACCAUGUGAAUCAUGCUUUGCAGACUUGUGUCCCUUGUACUGUUAUUUGGCCAUUGCCUUAUUAAUACCCUUCGACCAAAAAAAAAAGAAAAAAAAAGGGUACAGUGGUUCCGGUCUGGGGGUUUCUCUAGGUAUGCACUGCUGUAGUCAUUUUCUUUUGCCUAAAUCUAGGUCAAUUAAUUGGUGAUGAUUGCAGUUUUGGUAUUGGUACUUCUGUAUCAUUUGCUUUCUCCCAUAUUUGUUUAGCUUUGACAUGACAAGUGUGGAAUUUGCCAGCCAAAUUUCUUAAUAAUUUUAUCUCGAUUGUUGAAAACAUUCUAAUCUGGCUCUUUGCCAUUACUGAGGCAAGCUAUGAUUGGAUUUGUUUGACGAUGAGAGAGAGCACGCUUGUCAGCAUCCAUGAAACAUUCAUGAGUGUUUACGGGCGUGCUCCCUCUCAUCGUCAUACAAUCGAUCUAAUCUUGCAAACCUUUCGCAUACAAACUAGCUGAUGAUCAUAAAUUGUGCAAGUUAGUACUUAUAUAUGUCUGUCUCAAUAUUCUUUUCAUAUAGGCUCAUCAUUUUCCUUUUCAUGGUCGGUAUCCUUUUUCUGAUAUAGAGUUUAAAUGUUGAAGAAGUAGAGAACAGUCAGUGGUUAUGAGUUGAUCUCUGAGUAGAUCAUCCACAUGGAUGAGUUCUUUAGUUAUUUGUACUAGUCACUUAUGAAAAAUCAAAAGUUUCUUAACAUUUCUAUGUAGUCAUUUUUUAAGGAAUAGGAACAAAUGACUGGCAGUGGUGAGGUGUGGUGGAUAGUAAUUGAUGAACAAUAGGUCUUAUUUUACUCUUUGUUGGAUUUUUUUUUUAUCUAUUUUAGACUUUCAAGGAAGCCCCAGACGGUUUGUAGAGGUAUUGUCUAGCUCCCAACCACAGAAUUUGUAGUUUCACUUUUGAGAUCCUAAAUAUGUGUGACUAUAUAAGCAUGCAAGACAUUCAAAAAUUGGAUACUUGGUUGAUUAUGAUGCAAUUCAUAUAUCCCUAUUGACUACAAAAACAAGCAUCAGAGUACUUGGUUGUUCAGACUUCAAACAGGUAUGGUGGGCAAUGCAAGGAUACUCCUGCAGCCCAGGAACCCAUGAGUACUUCUACAAGGACGGAAGAAGUGCUAGCUGGCCCUACUUGCCUACAAAUCUUAUGGUAUACACCAUAAAUGUCAAGUUUCAUAACAAUUGGUAAAUAUUAUAGACCUUUGUACUUAUCAUAUAUUUACUAAGUGUCUGUGGUUCAUUAGUGUGUAAAUAUUAUUCUUAGAACUGCAACCAGUGGCCAUAGGUUUGGUAAGAAAGUAACAAAGUUAAAUUCCUGCUUUGCUCAAAUGCCUUGCUAAUUGCUAAUUCAACGACAAAAUGAAUGACUAAAGGUCUGAGACUUUCUUUAUUGAAAAACAAAGAUAUGCUUGUAACUAUCCAGUUGCAUGUUGUUUAUUUUUGGAAUCCUCGAGAUCUUUGACUAAAAUUAGACUCCAAGCUAAGAUAAGGAGAUGUUAUGCUUAUAACUAUCCAAUUACAUAGGAAGUUAUCAAUCUCCUAGGAAGAUCAUAUGUGCAUUUAUACAUAUUGCUUGAAUAUCCUCAGCAAGGAUUGGAAAGUUUUGACAUCUCCAUCGUCAAGUAGUUAAUACUUUGAUUCAUUUACAUAUAGCAGUCACAGAUGUUUUAUAUAAUGCUGACUUGUACUUGCUAAACUUGUUUUUCAAUAUUAUUGUUCUUGACAUAUAGAGGUAUAUGUGAUAUAUGUAAAUUUAAGUUAUAGACUAACAGAAAUAGGUGAUAACAAAAAUAGACUCUUGCCUGAAUUCUCUAAAUAGCUGAAAUUCAUACAGUGAUAUGUAUCUAAUUAUACCUAUAUAAAAGCCCUCUUUCUACCUUAAGGCACGCUUUCUGCCUAGGCGUAGGCUUAAAUGCAGCAAUUGCUCUGGUAAAGUCAUGCAGGCGCAAAAAGUGCACAGUAGGAGGGAAAAGCUUAAGCCUCAGGUGCAGCCAAGGCUCUCUCUUUUUUUUUUUUCUUUUUCUUUUUCUUUUUCCUGAAAAAAUAAAUAAAUAAUCAAAACUUACUGAGUGAUGAAUGCGAUCUCUUCCUUCAGCUACUUCUUCUGGAUGUUUAGUUAGUUAUCUUAAUUAUCUUCUCAUGUCUUUUAUCUUUGGUAGUAAGUCUGCUGUUGUUCGGUUGAUGUAGAACUCAGGCUCCUUGCAAUUAUGCAAGUCUGCUGUAGUUACAAUUUUAUUACAAAAGACUUGCGCAUUUAGAAAACGCUUCUACUUAGUGCCUUUGCCAAAAAAGGCUUGGGUAAGCCUUCUCCUUUUAAAAUUUUGAUUUCAAGUAGUGUUCGUGCUUUAUUUCCACAUGCAUCAGCCAUGCAUAUUUGGAAGCCAAAUUCAAUUCCUGGCAACUCAUGAACAACCAGGGCUAUUACCUAGAUGAACGCGCUGGACCUCAAAUUUAUAUUACAGAGACUUCUAUUUUUGUUUUGGUUAAUGUUAGUAUUUAGGCAAAUCAUUUAUCCUUUAAGUGGGCACAAGUUUUGCUACUAUACCUUAUUUGAAGUCUGGUUUUGCUAUGUACGCUCUAUGUUGCCUAUACUGAUGUCUCAUUUAUGCUUUCUUUUCUGUUCUUAACAGGAGCUUAGUUGAUAAGUCCUUUCACGUUUUGGAUUGAUCCAGUGUUCAUGGGAUUUACAUGGAAAUGUUCCCUAUAAAAUAUUCUUUAGAAGUUGCUAUUCAAGCACAGGAUUGUGAAGUCUAAUCCCAACUAAAACCCAGGCUUAAAGGUCUUGUGUGCAUGCUUGAUGAUUGUCUAAACGGUGGAAGUUUCACAACAGUAAGAAUGUGACAGACAGAGACAAACAUGCCCGGUACAAUACAUAUCACCGACAUUCCAAAUUCAAGGAUUUCAGGCAUACUUGGGACUUUUUCAGCCUUUUUAAGUAUAUUUGCUUCUUGUCUGGUUUUGUGGAUGGCCAUGGGACAGGUUUCCUUUCCAAGCUCGGAUUACAAUCUUGUGAUGGAGUACUGUGUCCAUUGGUUGCCAAACGUCCUUGAGACUAUACCUAGUGCAUCCAAUAGUAUGUUACUGUACAGAUGGGAACACACUAUGGCAUGUAAACAUCUCUCUCUGGAAUCUUAAGUUUUAUUUUCCAAUACUUCGUGUCCCAAAAUAUAUAACUUGAACUCAAAAAGGGAAAAUUCCAUAUCUCCAACCCUUCAAUGCAGAAUAUGAAAAUCCCGAAAUGCAAAAAUCCCAAGUUGUAAAAGUUCAAACACAUUGUAAAAAUCCCAACUUUGAACGUACAAUGGUAAUAGCAGGGGCGUUCGCCCAAGUAAAAUAGGGUUCAUACAACAGACA